Molecule: ribosomal RNA, 497 nt
Filed under: uncultured bacterium
Lineage: Bacteria
Description: partial 16S ribosomal RNA
Rfam family: Bacterial small subunit ribosomal RNA
Source: RNAcentral
GAUGAACGCUGGCGGCGUGCCUAAUACAUGCAAGUCGAGCGAACAGACGAGGAGCUUGCUCCUCUGACGUUAGCGGCGGACGGGUGAGUAACACGUGGAUAACCUACCUAUAAGACUGGGAUAACUUCGGGAAACCGGAGCUAAUACCGGAUAAUAUAUUGAACCGCAUGGUUCAAUAGUGAAAUACGGUUUUUCUGUCUCUUAUAGAUGGAUCCGCGCCGCAUUAGCUAGUUGGUAAGGUAACGGCUUACCAAGGCAACGAUGCGUAUCCGACGUGAGAGGGGGAUCGGACAAACUGGAACUGAGACACGGACCAGACGACGACGGGAGGCAGCAGUAGGGAAUAGUCCGCAAUGGGCGAAAGCAUGACGGAGCAAAGCCGCGUGAGAGAUGAAGGUCUUCGGAUCGUAAAACUCUGUUAUUAGGGAAGAAAAAAUGUGUAAGUAACUAUGCACGUAUUGACGGUAACUAAUAAGAAAGCAACGGCUAACUACGUG